This 253-nucleotide ribosomal RNA is filed under the name uncultured bacterium. Its description in RNAcentral is "partial 16S ribosomal RNA". It matches the Rfam family "Bacterial small subunit ribosomal RNA", at positions 524 to 776 of the family's 1533-position model. The record is from RNAcentral. RNAcentral also lists the same sequence under 1 other name.
UACGGAGGGUGCAAGCGUUAUCCGGAUUCACUGGGUUUAAAGGGUGCGUAGGUGGGCAGGUAAGUCAGUGGUGAAAUCUCCGAGCUUAACUCGGAAACUGCCGUUGAUACUAUUUGUCUUGAAUAUUGUGGAGGUAAGCGGAAUAUGUCAUGUAGCGGUGAAAUGCUUAGAUAUGACAUAGAACACCAAUUGCGAAGGCAGCUUACUACACAAUUAUUGACGCUGAGGCACGAAAGCGUGGGGAUCAAACAGG